UUUAAAUCUUUAGCCAUUUUGACACUUCUGGUCCUUGCAAUCAAAACUUUUGUAUUUUUUCAUAAAAACAUGAAAAUAAACGGUCUGUGGCAAAGCCCAGACUUUUCAUCCUUGCACUUUCUACGUCUGUCAUAUUUAUCGAUUCAGAAACAACAUUGAAAGCUUCUGGCCCCUGGAUAGCGGGGGUAACCUUUUAGUUAUAUAUUAGACUAAACUGCAAAUUUGGUCCUUGUGGUUAUCAAAAAAAUGUGGAUGAGGUCCAAAAAGUUUUUAACUUGCAUGGAUAAUCCAAAAUAGAUUUUUUUUUUGUGGUUUUGGUCCCUGUUUAACUUGAAAUGACUGUUAUGCCCUUUUAAUUUCAUUUUAUAUUAUUUCUUCAUUUUAUUAAUAUUUAUAUAAUUAAGAAAACAAGAAACAGGCUACCCACCCACUUAAGUCAUCAUCUACUGGUCUUUCUCUCUCUCUCUCUCUCUCUCUCUCUCUCUCUCUCUCUGGACACAAUCCUCCGAUCACCACUGUUGAAAUAAGCUUGAUUUCUUCUGGUCCCAUGCGGUUGCUCUGUCGAAAGUUGCCUAGACGUUGUCUUCUCCGACGACCAUACCCGUUGACGACAUUCAACCACAAAAAAGUUCUGACGAUUACACAUCUACACAUUCUAUUGUUUAAAACCACCAAAAUAUCCCCUAAUGCAUUGCAUCUCUCAAUGAACAUGAACACUACGAACCUAAUCGUGUUUAGACAUAACUUCACCUUCACCUUCUUUUGUCCUGUUUAUUUCAUUCACCAUGUAUACAUAAUUACUAAGCACACACAUAAUUUACGAAACACACACAUUACUAUUUGUCUUCUAUUUCCAACUGAAAACCUCAAUACCCCCAGACUUUUCACAUCUUCCUCCCAAUCUAGUAAAAAAACUCAAAUUUCUCAUCAAAUUCAGUUUUAGAUCAUUUUGUUUUUGCAGAAAGCCAUGUAUAUGGGAAUCAAAUUUUGUUCCUUUGUAGGAUAAUUAGGGUUAAAGCAAUCACUACAUACCUCUUUGUGGGCUCAAUCUCAGAAAUUACAUAGCUUUUAGAAAUCCCACCGAACCUAUGACAUAGAGACGAUUGUGUGUGUGUGUGUGUUCAUCAUUCAAAAUUUGAAAUAGGUGUAUGUGUGUCUAUGCUCGUCUGUUGAACUCAUCACCCCUUCUUUGUGUUUUACAAUGAGCCACACAAACUUCACGAGGAAAACCUAACCAUCGAAUAUCAGCCUUGAAAAAGAAGCUCCAGUGGGCGAGCGGUCUUUCUAUGGAAGCUCUUUAUUAGCUAAUAUUUAAAUCAUUUUGUUCUUGUGUACAUGAGGUUUCAACCUUUGGGUUUGUAAACCCAGUUGAAGAAGAAAAGGGGUUUCUAUGGCUUGAUUCAGGUUUUUGUUCAUUGAUUUGGGAUGUUUGGAGAAGACGAUGUCUUGAAGGAGCUGUGUGUGUGACUGUGUGUAAAAGAGAGAAAGAGAUAGAGAGAGGGGUGCGG
This 1508-nucleotide long non-coding RNA is filed under the name Lactuca sativa (garden lettuce). Its description in RNAcentral is "long non-coding RNA (LSAT_LNC008529)". Lineage: Eukaryota; Viridiplantae; Streptophyta; Magnoliopsida; Asterales; Asteraceae. The record is from RNAcentral.